Anopheles stephensi (Asian malaria mosquito) is the source of this 7853-nucleotide RNA transcript. It is a transcript of the gene named low-density lipoprotein receptor, with no coding region annotated. The record is from RefSeq and is a predicted model, not a curated record. The transcript is spliced from 19 exons. NCBI's taxonomy places the organism in Eukaryota, Metazoa, Arthropoda, Insecta, Diptera, Culicidae.
CGCACGGAAGCUGCAUGUCCUUUUCGCGUAUUGAGAAGGUGUGUGCGUGUAUGUGUGCGUGGUUCACUCAUUUACUCCCAUCGGUGGUAUCACGGCUAAGUGAUAAGCGGCACGGGGGCAACUUGCUCAUACUACGGUGUAUGUCGGUGGUGUUGGUUAGCAGAGGACAGCUGCCGCAGGAUCCCUGGGGAUGGAUGGACUGUGCUUCCGCUGUUGGGUGAAAACGUGUCGUGUGUUCGGGUAGAAGGUCCCGGUACUGUAUCGCGUACCACCAGUGGCUUGUGAAUUGUGCUCGUGAAAGUGUUUACGUGAACGUCCUCAGGUGAAAGUCGGCUUUAGUGCGUGGUGGUUGUGUUACGUCUAAUUUGUGAAUACGUCGUCCUCGUAAACCGAUGUGUAUGUGUUGUCGCGAAUCGUCGUCAGCCGCUUGAAAGGGGGGGAGGCGAAGAAAUUAUGUAUCCAUUUUGGUUGGUUCGUGUAAUUUGUAUUGCAAAUGGAACAUGUGCUUCGUGAAAGAAAUCUAAGUGUGUGCGUGCUAUUGGUGCCAAUUCUAGUUCCCAAUCCACUACUGUAAAAGAGUUACCGGUAAGAAGAAGAAGAAGCUAAAGAAAAAAAGUCAUCAUCCAACGUGGGUCUAUAUAGAAAUAUCGUGAGUUAAAAGAGCGUUAAAACAGCUAAUUUCUUUGCACCACUCGGUCGGGGUACUUACGACCAGCAAAAUGGGGCAAAAUCAGAAGAUCGGAAAGGUUUACAGAACAUGGCUCCUGACAUUGCUCGUCCUUGCGCCAGCGGUGAUUGUCGCCGUAGCCGGGGCCAACACCGACAAGCUGGAAAAGCUGGCAAUGUACGAAGCGAAAGAACAUGUGCUGAUGAACAACAUGAUCCCGGAGCAGGCAUCGGCGGUUACGGUGGACGGCAAAAACCUGACAGGCUCGAGGAUAGUACCGCCGACUAAGGCUAAACCAACGGAAUCGCACGCUACCGAUGUAUCUAUCAACAAUGGUACAGUGCCACGUACGGGCAAAACUACCACCGGAUUACCCAGCGAAUUUAACAUGACACUUCAGUGCGCUGAACGUCAAUUCCGCUGCGGCAACGGACAGUGCAUUCACAUAAGCUUCGUGUGCGAUGGAGAAGACGAUUGUAACGAUGGUAGCGAUGAGGAUUUACUUGUGUGUAAAGUAACAGAGACCGCUUGUCCUGGUGACAAAUUCCGCUGCAAGAAUGGUAGGUGUAUCCUGAAGCGCUGGCAGUGCGAUGGCGAGCGUGACUGUGCCGACGGUUCGGACGAAGACGUCGAAAAAUGCCAGAGCAAAGUGUGCUCAUCAGAGGAAUUUACAUGUCGCAGUGGAACCGGCAACUGCAUCCCGCUGGGCUGGAUGUGUGACCAGAACCGCGACUGUGCCGACGGAUCCGAUGAGAUGUCCUGCAAUGAAACAUGCCGCUCGGAUGAGUUCACCUGUGCGAACGGGCGUUGCAUACAGAAACGUUGGGCCUGCGAUCUUGAUGAUGACUGUGGUGAUAGAUCGGACGAGAAAAAUUGUCAACCCAGCACGUGCGAUCCACUGAAGCAGUUUGCCUGCGCGGAAAACUACUGCAUCACCAGCAAAUGGCGGUGCGAUGGCGAGCCCGACUGUCCGGACGGUUCCGACGAAAGGGGCUGUGCCAACCCACCACCACCGACCUUCUCCACCUGCCUGCCGCUGGAGUAUCAAUGCAAUGAUCGUAUCACCUGUAUCCACCGGAGUUGGAUUUGCGACGGCGAGAAGGAUUGUCCGAAGGGUGACGAUGAAAUGCCACCGAUAUGUCAGAAUGUAACCUGCCGGUCAGAUCAAUUCCAGUGCAAAAAGGAUAAAACCUGCAUCAAUGGACAUUUCUACUGCAAUGGCAAAAACGAUUGUUCCGACGGUAGUGACGAGCAGAACUGUGGAAUUAAAAGUCCGAGUGAGAAGUGUAAUCCCAAGACAGAGUUUGAUUGCGGUGGAGGAAUGUGUAUACCGUUGUCGAAGGUUUGCGACAAGAAACCCGACUGUCCCGAGUUCCAGGAUGAACCAGCCGACCGGUGUGGCAAGAACGAGUGUCUGCAGGGCAACGGUGGAUGCUCGCAGCUGUGUGUGGAUACACCUGCUGGGUUUUACUGUGAUUGUAAACCGGGCUUCAAAUUAGCCGACAAUCGAACCUGUGUAGACAUCGACGAGUGUGAAGAGCCGGGAUCAUGUUCCCAAAACUGCAUCAACGAAAUUGGCACCUUCAAGUGUGAAUGUAUGGACAAUUAUCUACGCGAUCCACGCGACCACACACGGUGUAAGGCGACGGAAGGGCACGCCUCGCUGCUCUUUGCCCGACGUCACGAUAUCCGCAAGAUUUCGCUCGAUCACCGCGAAAUGACGUCGAUUGUGAACGAUACGAAAUCGGCCACCGCACUGGAUUUCGUGUUCCGCACCGGAAUGAUCUACUGGAGCGAUGUCUCGGAGAAGCGAAUCUACAAGGCCCCCAUUGACGAAGGUUCAGACAAGACGGUCGUUGUUAAAGAUCAGCUCGUCACGUCGGACGGUUUGGCGGUGGAUUGGAUCUACAAUCACAUCUACUUCACGGACAUAAAACAAUCAUCGAUCGAGCUUGCCAACUUCGAUGGUAACAUGGGCAAGGUUUUAAUACAGGAUGAUUUGGAAAUUCCGCGCGCUAUCGCACUGGAUCCAAUUGACGGAUGGAUGUACUGGACGGAUUGGGGCACUAACCCAAGAAUCGAACGUGCCGGUAUGGACGGUACACACCGACAAGUGAUCGUAAGCUACGAAGUAAAGUGGCCCAACGGCAUCACGUUGGAUUUGGUGCGAAAGCGUGUGUACUGGGUCGAUGCGAAGCUGAACGUUAUCUCGUCCUGUAACUAUGAUGGUUCCAAACGCUCGGUAAUACUUUACUCGGCGGACUACUUGCGACAUCCGUUUUCGAUUACCACGUUCGAGGAUUGGGUGUACUGGACCGACUGGGACAAGGAAGCCGUGUUCAAGGCGAACAAAUUCACCGGCAAAGACAUCGAACCGGUGACAGCAAUGCACAUGUUGCAACACCCGAUGACGAUCCACGUGUACCAUCCGUACCGUCAGCCGGACGGUGUAAACCACUGUCAGGCGGUGAACGGCCACUGUUCGCAUCUGUGCCUGCCGGCACCCCAAAUUAACUCCAACAGCCCGAAGAUUUCCUGCGCGUGCCCAACCGGGCUGAAGCUCAUGAGCGACAGCUUAAUGUGUGUAGAAGACGAAACAAGUCCAGCGGAACCGGCGGGCACUGUCGAGGGUACUGAAGCUGGUGAAGGCACCGAUAACAUCGAUAAUAACAAUGGGCAAUCGACUAUUGCCCAGCAGCCUGGGCUUAGUACGCCGGGCCCUGCUCCAACCUCCACCACCACCAGCGGCAUCGCAAACAGCUUACAUCUUGCCGUCAUCUGUACCAACCUUACGCGCUCGGUGGCAAUUAUGGAAAGUUUGAAAUCGUACACCGGUACGGUGCGGGAUCGGGCCGCCCUGUACCAUUCCUACAUGAACCGGGUCGUGCAGAACCAGACGGAAGUGCGCCCGGUACGGUACUCGUACUGGGAGCAGCGCAAGCGAUUCAAUCUGCUCGAGAAUCUUUUCCCGCGGGCCCCGGUCGAUGCGAUCGAGCGGACGAACGAGGCGGCCGCGGCCCAACACCGGGGACUCUACGAUAACGAGCUGUUCGCCUCCAUUGAGUAUGUGAGGUGGAUUUGUGAAAAGUAUCGAGCGACGAUGCGAAAUGGCACCGACGGAACGCUCAUCCAUCCGGGCGUGGUCGAGGAUGACUCCGGUAAGGUCGGCGUAAUCGCUAUAUGCAUCCUGUUUGCGUUGGCCUUCCUCGUCGGAUCGAUUGUGCUCUGUUUAUAUCGCUACUACAAUCACGCACGCUCGACCACGAUGAACUUCGACAAUCCGGUGUACCGAAAAACUACCGAGGACCAGUUCAGCCUGGAGAAGAACAUGCAGAGCCGCAUGUACCCGAGCACCGUUGGCGAAGAGAUAAAUACAUUUCACUACCGCACUUGAAGUGUUUGCCAAAGUAGCUUAGCUGAAAAUUAAAGUUCUGUCGUAGGGUGGAGGUGGUGGUGGUGUUUUGUAUUAUGUGUGUGCGUGUGCGUCUGUGUCUGACACACGGAGUAGGGAGAUAAUGCAAAGAUAAGCAACCGGCAGCCAUACAAAGGGCCAUCGGAAAAGCGUGUGAAAAGAGAGAGAGUGAAGGAAAAUGCAACACACCUUCAAGCUUCAGAAGCUCUGCAAAAAUCGUAUCGUCAGCGCAUCUCAUCAGCGUGGCGGUGCAUCCACCGGACGUGGUUUCGAACAUCCCAUCCAUCCACCCUCCAAAGAGCGCACUACGUACUUGUACUAAAAACCGCAGCAAACGUGUCCUUCAUCAACGCUUUUCACCGUCCACACACACACACACUCAAAAGCGCGCGCAAUGAAGCACAUUAGUUCUACACUCACACGCCACGAAGCGUCAUAACUGUGCACCACCCAUCAUCAAAUGGCCAUCGUCACCGUGGGCCACUGAGGAAAACCCCAACCGACCGACAGACCAACGCAACUUUCGAAUCAUAAAAUGUACAAACGAAAACAACGCGCGAGAAUGCGAGAUGGUUGUUUGAACGUUUACGACCCGCACACGCGGAAGGCACAGGAACCGCUCACCCGACCGGCCACCAACGAUUAUGUCUAAUAGAUACCAAAAAAAACAAAAGACUCGUUGGUCCACGUACCACACGCAAAGCAAGCCAACCAACACGCUCAAGAAGUGAUUUUACAACAACAUCAAAACCAAUGGCGCUACAUGGAUGGGUCACUACAGCAGAAUAGAUAUUACCGGUGCAGCAGCAGCAUAAUCAUUACAGCAAAAGCAGUCGAACGCACCAGCCGGAAAACAACGCCCGUCUGGGUGGAAACGAGCUGGCGACAUUUGUCAUUCGAAGUCAAAGUGUCGUGCAUGUGCAAUAUAUUAUUUAAUAGGUAGUAGACAAAGUUCAGUGGAUCAUAAUUCAAAUUUGAGCAGAUUCUUAACAGUUAAACUUAGAUACAGGCACAACAAACUACAGACACUCACAGAGAUAACUAUAGAAGGUCAGGGAAUGAACCACAGCCCGCCGGUAAAUACUCAUCGAGUAUAGCAAAAAAAGCUUCAUUUCAUUUUCUUCUUUCCGGAAGAUCCCCAGAGGAUUCAGGUGGGAUAACAUCAGCAAAAUUUAAACUUUCCCUGCAAACACAUUUAGGUAGUCUUCAGAUGAAUCCCCCCCACAUACAUACAGAUGUAUGCAAUACGCUUCAGUGAUGGUGGAAAAUGACUGCUAUUAGUAUGAUUGUACGCGGGAAAAUUUAAAAGGGAAAACAAGCCGUUACACUUUUCCUGUUUGUUUUUGUAUAAUACUCCAUCGUGUGUGUGUGUAUGUGUACAUGAUAACUAAUUGUUUGCUGGAACUGAAAACCAUCCAAAAGCUCAUCCUAAACACAGCGCCUAAAUUUAUGCAAACCUGUUCUUUUUUAAACGAUUGCAUACUACACAUCGGGGAAAAAUGCGAAUCGGUGAAAUGAUACGAAUGAAAGGGAUAGAUGUAAAUCAUUUUUUCGAAUUGCUUAAUGUCCUAAAUUUGUUUUGUAGCUUUAAGUAGUGGAAAGUGUCAACCCAGAUCCAGUUGUGCUACUGUGGGAUACACGGAUAGGGCAGAGUUUAUUAGGUAACCACUGUUAAGCUGCUUCGUUUAUUGUAAUUCAAAACAAAAUUACGGUUAACGGCAGGUUUUUUGGCUUCUUCACUGUUGGUUUAGGGCAAAUUAGAGAAGAAAAAAGACGUGUGACGAUUGUUUAAUGUUAUGUUUCCCAAAAUUACACACAUACGGAAAAAAUGGAUAGGAUUUAAGGGACUCCUAGUACUAUGGUAGACUGAAAAGUGGGUAAACAGUGCGUCAUGAUGCACAUGCAACAUUGGCCAUGCUGUGUCAUCGAAAACCAUCGGAAACGGAACAAUUUUUGCGAACCGUGAAUGGCAGGCGAUAUUCACGGCGGGAAAAUUAAAUAUCUAAUUGUAAAUACACCAAGCCCAAGUUUCGUUAUGUAGUUUAAUUUUGUUUGUUUUUUCUCUCACUCAUUUGAAUCCUUUUCCCCCUUUUUAAAUACUUUAGUUUGGAUGACAUCAUUUUCUCCGCAUUCAUAGUCCUUUGUUUUCCUUUUGUUUCGUUCUUUCCACAUUUUUCCUCACACUUCACACAACCAACCAAUGUAGCACAAUUUGCAGCGUAGAUAGUGAAAUUUUCCUUCCAUAAAAUUAAACCGAAUCACAUUGUAAAACUCCUAUCGGGGUGAUGAUGUUCCUGUUUUGGUGGUGUUUGCAAAUCGAGCCAAACCCCUGUUAGCGCCUCGUUGCGAUAGAAUUUAAACAAAACUGCGAGCAAACUGCGAGCAAACGCAGAAAAGAGUAGCAAUCUGGCCGUUUGUCCCCAGUUUGUACUUGUUCCAGCCAAUCUUUGUUGCGUCCUAAUCCCAUUCUAGCAAUAUGUAACGUUUAUUAGCUUUUGCACACAACAAGUGUAACAAAAUGUUUCCGCAACUACUACUUCUACUACCAACUAAGUUCUUCCUAUGCAGAUCGUUAGAAAAUAUUGAGACAAAGAGGAAAGUGCUAGUGGAUGUGGAAAAUUUGUAAGAAAUCAAUUAGCGAGCUAGGAGAGGAAUUAGGAUUAUUAGGCGUUCGGUUUUUUGCUCAGAUAUUUCCCAUUCUUAACCCAACGGCACCGAAGCGUGUGUCCGGGUUGCAUAGACAUUUGCUCAAACUGAAAACGUAGUGACAUUUUUGGAUGCGGUGGAAAGCAGAUUGCACAGAAGGAGGGUUCCAAUGUGGUGCAUCUUACACUAGCAUAAGCAUAGCAUAAAGUAAAGCAACAAAAAAUUGCCCCAAACAACAGAGCAAAGAACGUUCGCCAAACAACAAGAGAGAGACUCUGCUCUGGUACUAAAUAAGGCCAAAUACUUUUUACACUUACAGAAGCUAACACCGACAGCUUACACAAAUGGUGAUUUAAUUCGAAUUCCUAGCGCAACGGUUAGCCAAAACACAAAACCAAUAAUCCAUCCAACAAACCCCACAGUGGUGGCCUGGUAACACUACACUCUGUCUCCUAUUAUCGGCUUUUUGUGAUUACAUUGCAGUCCGUUCGGUGAGGUUCGUUAUGGAGGGCGGCAGAGCAAAACCCAGUAUGCGAGGUAGAGCGAAAAAGAAGUGUUAUAGAAAAUGAGAGAUUUUUAAUUACAUAGAAGCAGAAAAAAUGAACGAGAACCAUCGUUUAUAGUUAACUAAUAACUAAUUUAUGCUAAUUUUAGAUCCCAUUUUUCUAGACACCCUACCUACAAAAAAAAAAACUCAAGCGCAAGGGAACAAAAUGGAGUGAAGCGAAAAGAUGCAGCCAAAAUUUGGGAGUUACUAACUUUACUGAAAACGCUCAAACAUUAAGCAAACCGACAGCGUGAACCCUUGAGAACAUUUAAAAAUACCGAAGGCUACGCGAACUACUACUGCAAAACUACUGUACUGGUCAAUGCAUAAAUGUAGUAAAAGUUUUUUCCACCUUCAUUCACUCCAAAUCAACCAAGUCAACGGAAGCGAACAAAAACCAUACAAAUUCAAUAUAACUAAAUUUACACCCACUUCACAGAUUUAAUGUAAUACGUAAGAUAUAAAUAGAGGUGGUUUAAACAAACAACAAAACGAUUAAACCAUGAUAACAAAAAGCAAGGCUCAACAUUGGCAAUUAAAGUAAAACAAAAGACGAACGAAAAGUAAAAACAAAAAAAAAA